RNAcentral lists this ribosomal RNA (857 nucleotides) under uncultured Clostridia bacterium. Its description in RNAcentral is "bacterial SSU rRNA". It matches the Rfam family "Bacterial small subunit ribosomal RNA", at positions 34 to 896 of the family's 1533-position model. The record is from RNAcentral. Lineage: Bacteria; Bacillati; Bacillota; Clostridia.
CCCUGGCGGCGUGCAUAACACAAGCAAGUCGGAACGAUGAACCUUAGAUGAUUUUCUUCGGGAUGAACUUAAGUGGAUUAGUGGCGAACGGGUGAGUAACACGUGAGUAACCUGCCUUACACAAGGGGAUAGCCUCUGGAAACGGAGAAUAAUACCCUAUAAAGUCUAAUCAGCCCAUGCUGGAAAGACCAAAGAUUUAUCGGUGUAAGAUGGACUUGCGUCUGAUUAGCUAGUUGGUGAGAUAAAAGCUCACCAAGGCGACGAUCAGUAGCCGGCUUGAGAGAGUGUACGGCCACAUUGGGACUGAGACACGGCCCAAACUCCUACGGGAGGCAGCAGUGGGGAAUUUUGCACAAUGGGGGAAACCCUGAUGCAGCGACGCCGCGUGAUUUAGAAGGCCUUCGGGUUGUAAAAAUCUUUUUUACGGGAUGAAAAUGACAGUACCGUAAGAAUAAGGUCCGGCUAAAUACGUGCCAGCAGCCGCGGUAAUACGUAUGGACCGAGCGUUGUCCGGAAUCAUUGGGCGUAAAGGGUACGUAGGCGGCCUAGUAAGUUAGAAGUUAAAGAAUAUAGCUCAACUAUAUAAAGCUUUUAAAACUGCUAGGCUUGAGAGAUGGAAGGGAAAGUGGAAUUCCUAGUGUAGCGGUGAAAUGCGCAGAUAUUAGGAAGAAUACCGGUGGCGAAGGCGACUUUCUGGUCAUCAUCUGACGCUGAGGUACGAAAGCGUGGGUAGCAAACAGGAUUAGAUACCCUGGUAGUCCACCGCUGUAAACGAUGAGUGUUAGGUUCUUGGAAUAAUCUGGGAGCCGCAGCUAACGCAUUAAACACUCCGCCUGGGGAGUACGCACGCAAGUGUG